AAAGUCGUAACAAGGUUUCCGUAGGUGAACCUGCGGAAGGAUCAUUAUUGAAUUAACUUGUUGGGUUGUAGCUGGCUCCUAGGAGCAUGUGCACACCCUUCAUCGUUUUUCCACCUGUGCACCUUUUGUAGUCCUGGAUACCUCUCGAGGCAACUCGGAUUGAGGGCUUGCAGUGCGAAAGCCGGCUUGCCCUUACAUUUCCAGGACUAUGUUUUCAUACACCCCAAUAGAAUGUUAUAGAAUGUCAUUUAUGGGCUUCACAGCCUUUAAACUUAUACAACUUUCAACAACGGAUCUCUUGGCUCUC
RNAcentral lists this unclassified non-coding RNA (307 nucleotides) under Basidiomycota sp. Its description in RNAcentral is "partial contains small subunit ribosomal RNA, internal transcribed spacer 1, and 5.8S ribosomal RNA". The stretch from base 1 to 47 matches the Rfam family "Eukaryotic small subunit ribosomal RNA", at positions 1785 to 1831 of the family's 1831-position model. The record is from RNAcentral. Lineage: Eukaryota; Fungi; Basidiomycota.